CCUACGUGCGGCAGCAGUGGGGAAUAUUGGACAAUGGGCGAAAGCCUGAUCCAGCCAUGCCGCGUGUGUGAAGAAGGCCUUCGGGUUGUAAAGCACUUUCAGUGGGGAAGAAAGCCUUGGGGCUAAUACCCUCGAGGAAGGACAUCACCCACAGAAGAAGCACCGGCUAACUCCGUGCCAGCAGCCGCGGUAAUACGUAGGGUGCGAGCGUUAAUCGGAAUUACUGGGCGUAAAGCUCGCGUAGGCGGUCUGAUAAGCCGGUUGUGAAAGCCCCGGGCUCAACCUGGGAACGGCAUCCGGAACUGUCAGGCUAGAGUGCAGGAGAGGAAGGUAGAAUUCCCGGUGUAGCGGUGAAAUGCGUAGAGAUCGGGAGGAAUACCAGUGGCGAAGGCGGCCUUCUGGACUGACACUGACGCUGAGGUGCGAAAGCGUGGGUAGCAAACAGGAUUAGAUACCCGUGUAGUC
This 465-nucleotide ribosomal RNA is filed under the name Vreelandella stevensii. RNAcentral's name for it is "partial 16S ribosomal RNA". It matches the Rfam family "Bacterial small subunit ribosomal RNA", at positions 338 to 795 of the family's 1533-position model. The record is from RNAcentral. Lineage: Bacteria; Pseudomonadati; Pseudomonadota; Gammaproteobacteria; Oceanospirillales; Halomonadaceae.